This 497-nucleotide ribosomal RNA is filed under the name uncultured bacterium. Its description in RNAcentral is "partial 16S ribosomal RNA". It matches the Rfam family "Bacterial small subunit ribosomal RNA", at positions 28 to 507 of the family's 1533-position model. The record is from RNAcentral.
GAUGAACGCUGGCGGCGUGCCUAAUACAUGCAAGUCGAGCGAACAGAUGAGGAGCUUGCUCCUCUGACGUUAGCGGCGGACGGGUGAGUAACACGUGGAUAACCUACCUAUAAGACUGGGAUAACUUCGGGAAACCGGAGCUAAUACCGGAUAAUAUAUUGAACCGCGUGGUUCAAUAGUGAAAGACGGUUUUGCUGUCACUUAUAGAUGGAUCCGCGCCGCAUUAGCUAGUUGGUAAGGUAACGGCUUACCAAGGCAACGAUGCGUAGCCGACCUGAGAGGGAGAACGGCCACACUGGAACUGAGACACGGUCCAGACUCCUACGGGAGGCAGCAGUAGGGAAUCUUCCGCGAUGGGCGAGAGCCUGACGGAGCGACACGGCGGGAGGGAUGAAGGUCCCCGGAUCGGAAAACGCUGUUAGUAGGAAAAAACAAAUAUGUAUGUAACUAUGCACGUCUUGACGGUACCUAAUCAGAAAGCCACGGCUAACUACGUG